This 829-nucleotide ribosomal RNA is filed under the name Bacillus sp. C126. RNAcentral's name for it is "bacterial SSU rRNA". It matches the Rfam family "Bacterial small subunit ribosomal RNA", at positions 60 to 871 of the family's 1533-position model. Lineage: Bacteria; Bacillati; Bacillota; Bacilli; Caryophanales; Bacillaceae. The record is from RNAcentral.
AGUCGAGCGGACAGAAGGGAGCUUGCUCCCGGAUGUUAGCGGCGGACGGGUGAGUAACACGUGGGUAACCUGCCUGUAAGACUGGGAUAACUCCGGGAAACCGGAGCUAAUACCGGAUAGUUCCUUGAACCGCAUGGUUCAAGGAUGAAAGACGGUUUCGGCUGUCACUUACAGAUGGACCCGCGGCGCAUUAGCUAGUUGGUGAGGUAACGGCUCACCAAGGCGACGAUGCGUAGCCGACCUGAGAGGGUGAUCGGCCACACUGGGACUGAGACACGGCCCAGACUCCUACGGGAGGCAGCAGUAGGGAAUCUUCCGCAAUGGACGAAAGUCUGACGGAGCAACGCCGCGUGAGUGAUGAAGGUUUUCGGAUCGUAAAGCUCUGUUGUUAGGGAAGAACAAGUGCAAGAGUAACUGCUUGCACCUUGACGGUACCUAACCAGAAAGCCACGGCUAACUACGUGCCAGCAGCCGCGGUAAUACGUAGGUGGCAAGCGUUGUCCGGAAUUAUUGGGCGUAAAGGGCUCGCAGGCGGUUUCUUAAGUCUGAUGUGAAAGCCCCCGGCUCAACCGGGGAGGGUCAUUGGAAACUGGGAAACUUGAGUGCAGAAGAGGAGAGUGGAAUUCCACGUGUAGCGGUGAAAUGCGUAGAGAUGUGGAGGAACACCAGUGGCGAAGGCGACUCUCUGGUCUGUAACUGACGCUGAGGAGCGAAAGCGUGGGGAGCGAACAGGAUUAGAUACCCUGGUAGUCCACGCCGUAAACGAUGAGUGCUAAGUGUUAGGGGGUUUCCGCCCCUUAGUGCUGCAGCUAACGCAUUAAGCACUCCG